GUGAAUCAUCAAAUUUUUGAACGCAAAUUGCACUCUCCUCGGAGAGUAUGCCUGUUUGAGGGUCAGCCUAUAAAAAAUCGACAUCGUUGCUGUUUCGCGGUGGCGUUCGUCGGAAAUUGGGUCAUCUUAAAUCCUUUUGGUUUUUAAGCGACUUAAAAUUUUCUUUUUGUUUCAUUGAACGUUCCUAAGAUUUAUUUUUUUAACCGUUUAAGGAAUCGAUUUUUAUUAGACGUGACCAUAA
RNAcentral lists this unclassified non-coding RNA (241 nucleotides) under Glomerales sp. RNAcentral describes it as "partial contains 5.8S ribosomal RNA and internal transcribed spacer 2". The stretch from base 1 to 65 matches the Rfam family "5.8S ribosomal RNA", at positions 84 to 154 of the family's 154-position model. The record is from RNAcentral. Lineage: Eukaryota; Fungi; Glomeromycota; Glomeromycetes; Glomerales; Glomeraceae.